GAGGAAUAAGCAUCGGCUAACUCCGUGCCAGCAGCCGCGGUAAUACGGGGGAUGCAAGCGUUAUCCGGAAUCAUUGGGCGUAAAGCGCCUGUAGGUUGUUUAAUAAGUCUGUUGUUAAAGACUAGGGCUCAACCCUAGGAAAGCAAUGGAAACUACUAGACUUGAGUAUGAUAGGGGUAGAGGGAAUUUCUAGUGUAGCGGUGAAAUGCGUAGAUAUUAGGAAGAACACCGGUGGCGAAGGCGCUCUACUGGAUCAUUACUGACACUCAGAGGCGAAAGCUAGGGUAGCAAAAGGGAUUAGAUACCCCUGUAGUCCUAGCCGUAAACGAUGGAUACUAGAUGUUGCGUUUAUUAUGCAGUAUCCUAGCUAACGCGUUAAGUAUCCCGCCUGGGGAGUACGCUCGCAAGGGUGAAACUCAAAGGAAUUGACGGGGGCCCGCACAAGCGGUGGAGCAUGUGGUUUAAUUCGAUGCAACGCGAAGAACCUUACCAGGGCUUGACAUACUACGAAUUCUUUUGAGAAAAAGAAGUGCCUUCGGGAAUGUAGAUACAGGUGGUGCAUGGCUGUCGUCAGCUCGUGUCGUGAGAUGUUGGGUUAAGUCCCGCAACGAGCGCAACCCUUAUUUUUAGUUACUAAUUCGUUAGGUUCUCUAGAAAGACUGCCGGUGACAAACCGGAGGAAGGUGAGGAUGACGUCAAGUCAGCAUGCCCCUUAUGCCCUGGGCUACACACGUGCUACAAUGGUUAAGACAAAGAGUCGCGAGCUCGCAAGAGUCAGCUAAUCUCAUAAACUUAGCCUAAGUUCAGAUUGUAGGCUGCAACUCGCCUACAUGAAG
RNAcentral lists this ribosomal RNA (836 nucleotides) under Haptophyta environmental samples. Its description in RNAcentral is "bacterial SSU rRNA". It matches the Rfam family "Bacterial small subunit ribosomal RNA", at positions 481 to 1325 of the family's 1533-position model. Lineage: Eukaryota; Haptophyta. The record is from RNAcentral.